UACAGAAGCCCCAAGCGUUACCCGGAAUCACUGGGCGUAAAGGGUGCGCAGGCGGCCAUAUUAGUCUCUUGUUAAAUCCAGAAGCUUAACUUCUGGUCUGCGGGGGAAACGGUAUGGCUAGAGGAUAUGAGAGGUUGAGGGAACUCACGGUGUAGGGGUGAAAUCCGUUGAUAUCGUGGGGAACACCAAAGGCGAAGGCACUCAACUGGCAUAUUCCUGACGCUCAUGCACGAAAGCCAGGGUAGCGAACGGG
Molecule: ribosomal RNA, 253 nt
Filed under: uncultured bacterium
Lineage: Bacteria
Description: partial 16S ribosomal RNA
Rfam family: Bacterial small subunit ribosomal RNA
Source: RNAcentral